This 315-nucleotide ribosomal RNA is filed under the name uncultured fungus. RNAcentral's name for it is "SSU rRNA". It matches the Rfam family "Eukaryotic small subunit ribosomal RNA", at positions 1344 to 1680 of the family's 1831-position model. Lineage: Eukaryota; Fungi. The record is from RNAcentral.
UAACCUGCUAAAUAGCAACGUCAAGUUUGACUUGGCGGCUUGCUUCUUAGAGGGACUCUAGACAUUAAGUUUAGGGAAGUUUGAGGCAAUAACAGGUCUGUGAUGCCCUUAGAUGUUCUGGGCUGCACGCGCGCUACACUGAUGAAGUCAACGAGUUUAUUCCUUGGCCGAAAGGUCUGGGUAAUCUUUUGAAACUUCAUCGUGCUGGGGAUAGUCCAUUGCAAUUAUUGGACUUCAACGAGGAAUUCCUAGUAAGCGCAAGUCAUCAGCUUGCGUUGAUUACGUCCCUGCCCUUUGUACACACCGCCCGUCGCU